GAGAAGAGAAAUAGUUAAAUUAGAUAUAGCUGAUGGUAAACUGCUUUCAUGAAAGUUUUCUUAAAAUUCUUAUUUAAGACAUUAUACCUACUUUAGAUAAGUUAUUCCUCCAGAAUUGCAAGCUAAGUGGUCACACCUUCUGAUUUAUAGUCAGACACUUUUAUAUAAAAGCUUCAGAGUUGGGUCUUAACUGCAUGGCUUCCACACCUGCAAACCAUUGCCCUUCCUUUCUGAAGUCGUC
RNAcentral lists this long non-coding RNA (241 nucleotides) under Bos taurus (domestic cattle). RNAcentral describes it as "long non-coding RNA NONBTAT017985". The record is from RNAcentral. Lineage: Eukaryota; Metazoa; Chordata; Mammalia; Artiodactyla; Bovidae.